This 448-nucleotide ribosomal RNA is filed under the name uncultured bacterium. Its description in RNAcentral is "bacterial SSU rRNA". It matches the Rfam family "Bacterial small subunit ribosomal RNA", at positions 330 to 794 of the family's 1533-position model. The record is from RNAcentral.
UCCAGACUCCUACGGGAGGCAGCAGUGGGGGAUAUUGCACAAUGGGGGAAACCCUGAUGCAGCGACGCCGCGUGGGUGAAGAAGUAUUUCGGUAUGUAAAGCCCUAUCAGCAGGGAAGAAAGAAGACGGUACCUGACUAAGAAGCCCCGGCUAACUACGUGCCAGCAGCCGCGGUAAUACGUAGGGGGCGAGCGUUAUCCGGAUUCACUGGGUGUAAAGGGAGCGUAGACGGCCGUGCAAGCCAGGAGUGAAAGCCCGGGGCCCAACCCCGGGACUGCUCUUGGAACUGUGCGGCUGGAGUGCGGGAGGGGCAGGCGGAAUUCCUGGUGUAGCGGUGAAAUGCGUAGAUAUCAGGAGGAACACCGGCGGCGAAGGCGGCCUGCUGGACCGCGACUGACGUUGAGGCUCGAAAGCGUGGGGAGCGAACAGGAUUAGAUACCCGAGUACC